Molecule: RNA transcript, 3432 nt
Organism: Triticum aestivum (bread wheat)
Lineage: Eukaryota; Viridiplantae; Streptophyta; Magnoliopsida; Poales; Poaceae
Gene name: gamma-tubulin complex component 2-like
Exons: 25
Source: RefSeq, a predicted model, not a curated record
UUGAUUUCAAACAAACGGCCGGGAUCUGUCCUGACUCAACUCUUCUCCCACACUCGUCCCCGUCGCCAGUUGCCACCGCUCCCCGCCCACCUCGAAAUGGAUCCCGCGCCGGCGACCCCUCGCUGGAACCUGGAGCGCCCCUACCUCACCGGACGCUUCCACCAGGAGGCGAAGGUGUCCGCGGCGUCGCAGGCGCCCGGAUCCAAGCCUUUCUCUCUCGACUCAUUCAGCCGCGGAGCUGGCGGCGGCGCUGGGAGUGUCCUCGGAUCGUACGCUGUUUCUGUGCAGGAGCUUUUAGUUAUUGAUGAUUUGCUAUCAGCUCUGGUGGGUAUUGAGGGAAGAUACAUUUCAAUUAAGAGAGUACGCGGAAAGGAGGGAUAUGUUGUCUUCCAGAUUGAUUCUUCAAUGGACCUUGCACUCCAGGAGUUGACUCGCCGAAUUUUCCCCUUAUGUGAAGAUUUCGUGCUAGCAAGUCAGUUUGUGGAGUCCAGGUCACAUUUCAAAACUGGUUUGGUUAACCAUGCUCUAGCGGCAGCUCUAAGGGCAUUCCUCCUGGAUUAUCAGGCAAUGGUUGCUCAACUGGAGCAUCAAUUCCGUCUUGGAAGGCUCUCUGUUCAAGGAUUAUGGUUCUUUUGUCAGCGGAUGAUGAGUUCAUUGAAUGCACUGGCUGUUCUAAUAGAGAAGGCUAUGUCCAAUAAUACUAGUGGUUCGGCGACACUUAAUCUACUUCAUAGUCAGGCAAAGGCGAUGGCUGGCGAUAGUGCUGUUCGGUCAUUACUGGAGAAGAUGACCGAUUGUGCAAGUGCAGCAUACCUCAGGAUGUUGGAAAGAUGGGUGUAUGAGGGUGUCAUAGAUGACCCUUAUGGUGAAUUCUUCAUUGCUGAAAACAAAUCUCUGCAGAAGGAGAGUCUGACUCAAGAUUAUGAUGCCAAAUAUUGGCAGCAACGGUACAGCCUAAAAGAUGGCAUCCCUAGUUUUCUCAAUAAUGUCGCUGCCACCAUUCUGACAACAGGAAAGUAUCUUAAUGUUAUGAGAGAAUGUGGGCACAAUGUUCAGGUUUCCCUAUCAGAAAACUCUAAGCUGACGAGCUUUGGUUCAAACCACCAAUAUCUUGAGUGCAUCAAAUCUGCUUAUGAUUUUGCAAGUGGUGAGCUCUUGACUCUAAUGAAAGAUAAGUAUGAUCUCAUUGGGAAACUGCGAUCAUUGAAGCGCUAUCUACUUCUUGACCAAGGUGAUUUUUUGGUUCAUUUUAUGGAUAUUGCCCGAGAGGAGCUUACAAAGAAACCAGAAGAUAUAUCCGUUGAAAAACUUCAGUCUCUUGUUGACAUCGCGUUGCGAAGUACAGCAGCUGCUUCCGAUCCAAGUCAUGAAGAUUUGACUUGUUGCGUUGAAAGAAGUUCCCUGCUUAAAAAACUGACAAGCCUGAAAGACUUGGACUGUGCUUACUCUUCAGACAAGCUUGCUGCAGCUGAUGUUGAUCAGCCCAUGACAUUAAACAUAACUGGCUUGGAAACGUUCUGCCUUGGCUACAAGAUUCCAUGGCCACUAUCUCUUGUAAUUUCAAGGAAGGCUUUAACAAAGUAUCAAUUGAUCUUUCGUCUAUUGUUUCACUGCAAACAUGUUAGUCGCCAAUUGUGUCAAGCGUGGCAGAUCCAACAAGGGUUCCGGUCUGUCAAGAUUCUUGGAACACCAAUUCUACGGUCAUCGAUACUUUGUCGCAGCAUGCUCAAGUUUGUAAACAGCCUUCUACAUUAUCUAACUUUUGAGGUUCUUGAACCAAACUGGCAUUCAAUGCAUGGCCGCCUUCAAACUGCAAGGAGCAUCGAUGAGGUCAUCCAGAUACACGAUUUCUUCCUCCAGAAGUGUCUAAAAGAAUGCUUGCUGUUGUUGCCUGAGCUCCUCAUGAAAGUUGAGAAGCUGAAAGCGUUAUGUCUUCAAUACGCGACUUCCAUCCAGCUCUUGAUACCAUCCAUCGAGGUCGCUGCUGCUGAGAGCAAAUCGAAAUCCGGGUCGUCGAGAGCAAGAGCCAAGAGAUCACAGGACAGAGACGAGCAACUGAAACUAGCAUCCGAGAACGUCGUGAUGUCGCAGUCAAUCCUGAAAUUCGAGUCGGAGUUCAACGCGGAGCUCCAGAGCCUCGUUCCUACGCUGAGCAAGAGCUCGCAGGCCGAACCAUACCUGACCCAUCUCGCGCAGUGCAUUCUUGGCGUCGGAAUCGACCAGUUGUGUUCGUCAGGAACUGGGCUGUGUUGUUUGAGACGAGUCGCCGAUGUAGUAAGCCUGUAGCUUCAAGAGCCUGGCUACGAAUCAGAGUGGAAGCCUCAAUUCUUCACUGCCCACCCACCCGCAGUUAGCUCGCUUCCCACUCACACACACUCCUUCACUGCCCAGUACCCACCCCACUGCCAUCACCCCCACCACCGGUACUACCAGCAGGUCCAGCGCCACCAUCGCCCUACCCCUACGCCCCCACAGCAACACGAGAAAACCACCGCAAGCACGCGCCCCGCUCCGCCCCGAGACGCGACGGUGGAAUCCGGCAGGCACGGGCACGAGCAGGCGUGCGGACACAUAGCCCGAGCGCGCGCGAUGGCAGUCGGAGGGCGGCGCGCGGCGGCGGCGGCGUGCGGGCGCUGGUGCCUGGUGAUCCUCGCCGUGGCCUCCGCGCUCGGCGUCUCCGGGCCCGCGCUCUACUGGCGCUACAAGAAGGGCUUCUCCUCCCCCGCCUCCGGCGCUGCCGCCGUCUCCGCACCCUCCUGCCCGCCCUGCACCUGCGACUGCCCGCCGCCGCUCUCCCUCCAGUCCAUCGCGCCAGGGCUCAUGAACUUCUCAAUUUCAGCUUGCGGCACAAAUGACCCUGAGCGUACCAAGGAGAUGGCGAAGCAGUUUGUUGAUCUCCUCAACGAGGAACUCAAGCUGCAGCAGGUUGUAGCUGAGGAGCACAUCCAUCACAUGAAUGCCACACUUGUCGAGGCAAAAAGGCAGGCUACCCUGUACCAGCGAGAGGCGGAGAAGUGUAACGCGGCCACAGAGACUUGUGAGGAAGCCAGGGAGAAGUCUGAGGGGGCAAUCUCAAAGGAGAGGAAACUGACAGCACUGUGGGAACGUCGAGCUCGCGAAUUGGGUUGGCAGGAUUCUCGAGCCGCGACCACCGCACGAUAGCUUUGCAAGCAGUUUGCUUCUGCAGGUAAAAGUAUUUGCAGCAGGCGGCAUUUUACCACACCGAGCAAUGUUAGCUGUAUGGGUCCACGUGUAAUGUUUGCCAGUGUAUGACUAUGAGUUGUCCCAGUUGAAGUAUAGUUACUCUAGACACUGUAGAUUCCUUAUAAAUGUAACUAGUAUACAUUGUUUAAAUAUGCAAGCUUUAUAUUGAAGACAUUCAGUGUAGUGUUGUGGCUGUAGAUCAAAAGGCGGUUUCUGCUUUCGUCGAAA